This is a long non-coding RNA of Hydra vulgaris (swiftwater hydra), 1392 nucleotides long. RefSeq lists it as uncharacterized. The record is from RefSeq and is a predicted model, not a curated record. Lineage: Eukaryota; Metazoa; Cnidaria; Hydrozoa; Anthoathecata; Hydridae.
GUUAUUUGUUAUUACAUCAGUUUUUACUUUUAUAAAAAUUAAUGGUACAUAAAGUUGAAUGCUUGAUUGUCUCAAGAAGUCAUUUUGGUGUCAGAGCUCUCUAGCUUUGAAAAAAACUAUACGAGCUGUAAAUUAGUCCGCAUCUAGAGUUUUGAAAUUAUAAAUUUCUCUACUCAAACGCGCCUAAUAACGCGUAACAUUGUUUAUUAAACAUUUUAGUUAUAAUCAGAAACUAAAAAUACAAGGCGUACAUAUUCUCAAAGAACGCAACGACUUUAUACUACAAUACAAAACUGCUUAUCAUUUAAAAUUUAGACUUUAAAAACUGUUCUUUAAGAUUCUCAUUAUUCUGGUUGAAAGAUCAAGAACCGGUAAAAGUUAAACCUUGUGAAGUAAAAAACAAAUUUAUGGAAGAUAUUUCACAUCUUGUUAGUUUGAAGAUGUCUUCAUUUUUUACUUGUGGAAACACUUUAGGGUUACUCAACCAACUAUACUCUUUAGCUUGUUGUUAGGGUCUUUAGCUUGUUGUUAGGGUCUUUAGCUUGUUGUUCAAUCUAUAUGCAUUCGAAUUCAACUUAACUUGUAAAAAAGAAUAAAAGAGUUUUUCCAAUAUUAAUUUUAUUGAGUCUGUUUAUUAAUCCUAAUCGAAUGAGUUGCAAAAAUUAAUCCAGAUGGUUUUCUUAAAAAUAUAAAUGUUAACUAACUGUAUUAGAAAAACAGUCGUUAAAUUGUAUUAUUAUAGAGGGGCGCCUAAUUGCUGCUAUACCCCAGGCGUCAUGAAUGCUCUCGGCAGCCCUGUUAAAAAUCAAAAGUAGAACAUAGAAAGAGUUGCAUUGUCAUUAGCGAAGUACUUGGUUGGAGCAAAACGUAUCGAUGUAAUAUACGAUAUAAACGAAGAAGUGUACUAUGGAGAUACAUUUUACGGCUAUACCGCGCAUUUAUGCAACAUUUUUAUUGUUUUGCUUUAUCAAGGUUUUUAUUUUUUGAGUGUUUUGUGUUUCACUCAAACGAUUAAAUCAGACCAAGCGACCCAAACAGAAUUUUAUGACAUAUGCUAAUCUGUGUAUUAUUUUGGUUUUAUUUGUAUUAUAGUUUUUUUUAUGACUAAGAUGCGUGUUAUGUUGAAUCAGUGGUUAUAAGAAUCUGUUUUUUUUUAUUUAUUAGGGUAUAAUGUUCAUUUAUGAACACUUAUUUUUACUUUACGAUGUUUUUGAAUUUUUGAGUGUUUAGUGUUUAGGUCCAAAGAACUAAUCAGAUCCAAACAGAAUUAUAUUUAAAUAUAUGCUGAUAUGUUUAUUAUUUUGGUUUUAUUUGCAUCAUAUUAAUUUUCAGACUAAAAUGUAUUGUGUGUUACGUUGGAUCAGUUAUUAUUAGAAUCAGUUUUUUUGUUUA